This 644-nucleotide ribosomal RNA is filed under the name uncultured fungus. RNAcentral's name for it is "eukaryotic LSU rRNA". It matches the Rfam family "Eukaryotic large subunit ribosomal RNA", at positions 38 to 667 of the family's 3401-position model. Lineage: Eukaryota; Fungi. The record is from RNAcentral.
GCAUAUCAAUAAGCGGAGGAAAAGAAACUAACAAGGAUUCCCCUAGUAACGGCGAGUGAAGCGGGGAGAGCUCAAAUUUGAAAUCUGGUGGCCUCAGGUCAUCCGAGUUGUAAUCUAUAGAAGUGUUUUCCGUGCUGGCUCAUGUACAAGUCCCUUGGAACAGGGCGUCAUAGAGGGUGAGAAUCCCGUCCUUGACAUGAACUACCAGUGCUCUGUGAUACAUUUUCAACGAGUCGAGUUGUUUGGGAAUGCAGCUCAAAAUGGGUGGUAAAUUCCAUCUAAAGCUAAAUAUUGGCGAGAGACCGAUAGCGAACAAGUACCGUGAGGGAAAGAUGAAAAGCACUUUGGAAAGAGAGUUAAACAGUAUGUGAAAUUGUUGAAAGGGAAACGAUUGAAGUCAGUCGUGCUCUUUGGAUUCAGCCGGUUCUGCCGGUGUACUUCCUUUGAGUGGGGUCAACAUCAGUUUUGAUCGCUGGAUAAAGGCUGGAGGAACGUAGUACCCUCGGGUAAACUUAUAGCCUCCUGUCACAUACAGUGGUUGGGACUGAGGAACGCAGCACGCCUUUAUGGCCGGGAUUCGUCCACGUACGUGCUUAGGAUGUUGACAUAAUGGCUUUAAACGACCCCGUCUUGAAACACGGACC